GUGAACGCUGGCGGUAGGCCUAACACCUGCAAGUCGAACGGCAGCACCGUAAGAGCUUGCUCUUACGGGUGGCGAGUGGCGGACGGGUGAGGAAUACUUCGGAAUCUACUUUUUCGUGGGGGAUAACGUAGGGAAACUUACGCUAAUACCGCAUACGACCUACGGGUGAAAGCAGGGGAUCUUCGGACCUUGCGCGAUUGAAUGAGCCGAUGUCGGAUUAGCUAGUUGGCGGGGUAAAGGCCCACCAAGGCGACGAUCCGUAGCUGGUCUGAGAGGAUGAUCAGCCACACUGGAACUGAGACACGGUCCAGACUCCUACGGGAGGCAGCAGUGGGGAAUAUUGGACAAUGGGCGCAAGCCUGAUCCAGCCAUACCGCGUGGGUGAAGAAGGCCUUCGGGUUGUAAAGCCCUUUUGUUGGGAAAGAAGAGCAGCAGGUUAAUACCCCGCUGUUCUGACGGUACCCAAAGAAUAAGCACCGGCUAACUUCGUG
RNAcentral lists this ribosomal RNA (491 nucleotides) under uncultured bacterium. RNAcentral's name for it is "partial 16S ribosomal RNA". It matches the Rfam family "Bacterial small subunit ribosomal RNA", at positions 29 to 507 of the family's 1533-position model. The record is from RNAcentral.